Molecule: ribosomal RNA, 253 nt
Filed under: uncultured bacterium
Lineage: Bacteria
Description: partial 16S ribosomal RNA
Rfam family: Bacterial small subunit ribosomal RNA
Source: RNAcentral
UACAGAGGUCUCAAGCGUUGUUCGGAUUCAUUGGGCGUAAAGGGUGCGUAGGCGGUGAGGUAAGUCGGAUGUGAAAUCCCCGGGCUCAACCUGGGAACUGCAUUUGUGACUGUAGAGCUGGAGUGCGGCAGAGGGGGAUGGAAUUCCGCGUGUAGCAGUGAAAUGCGUAGAUAUGCGGAGGAACACCGAUGGCGAAGGCAAUCCCCUGGGCCUGCACUGACGCUCAUGCACGAAAGCGUGGGGAGCAAACAGG